UACAGAGGGGGCAAGCGUUGUUCGGAAUUACUGGGCGUAAAGGGCGCGUAGGCGGCCUUCUAAGUCGAACGUGAAAUCCCCGGGCUCAACCCGGGAACUGCGUCCGAUACUGGAAGGCUUGAAUCCGGGAGAGGGAUGCGGAAUUCCAGGUGUAGCGGUGAAAUGCGUAGAUAUCUGGAGGAACACCUGCGGUGUAGACGGCUUACUGGACCAUGACUGACGCUGAGGCACGAAAGCGUGGGGAGCAAACAGG
RNAcentral lists this ribosomal RNA (253 nucleotides) under uncultured bacterium. RNAcentral describes it as "partial 16S ribosomal RNA". It matches the Rfam family "Bacterial small subunit ribosomal RNA", at positions 524 to 776 of the family's 1533-position model. The record is from RNAcentral.